RNAcentral lists this ribosomal RNA (460 nucleotides) under uncultured bacterium. RNAcentral's name for it is "partial 16S ribosomal RNA". It matches the Rfam family "Bacterial small subunit ribosomal RNA", at positions 338 to 795 of the family's 1533-position model. The record is from RNAcentral.
CCUACGGGGGGCAGCAGUGAGGAAUCUUGGUCAAUGGACGAGAGUCUGAACCAGCCAAGUAGCGUGAAGGAUGACUGCCCUCUGGGUUGUAAACUUCUUUUAUAAAGGAAUAAAACGAGGCACGUGUGCCUUUUUGCAUGUACUUUAUGAAUACGGAUCGGCUAACUCCGUGCCAGCAGCCGCGGUAAUACGGAGGAUCCGAGCGUUAUCCGGAUUUAUUUGGUUUAAAGGGAGCGUAGAUGGGUUGUUAAGUCAGUUGUGAAAGUUUGCGGCUCAACCGUAAAAUUGCAAUUGAUACUGGCAGUCUUGAGUACAGUUGAGGUAGGCGGAAUUCGUGGUGUAGCGGUGAAAUGCUUAGAUAUCACGAAGAACCCCGAUUGCGAAGGCAGCUUACUAAACUGUGACUGACAUUGAUGCUCGAAAGUGUGGGUAUCAAACAGGAUUAGAUACCCUUGUAGUC